RNAcentral lists this transfer RNA (71 nucleotides) under Agrilus planipennis (emerald ash borer). It matches the Rfam family "tRNA". From Rfam's summary of the family: Transfer RNA (tRNA) molecules are approximately 80 nucleotides in length. Their secondary structure includes four short double-helical elements and three loops (D, anti-codon, and T loops). The record is from Rfam by way of RNAcentral. Lineage: Eukaryota; Metazoa; Arthropoda; Insecta; Coleoptera; Buprestidae.
CUCCUUGUAGCUUAGUGGUAGAACACUGGUGCGUGAAACCAGGAAUCCGGGUUUGAUUCCCGGUAAGGAAA